Molecule: ribosomal RNA, 454 nt
Filed under: Baryceros texanus
Lineage: Eukaryota; Metazoa; Arthropoda; Insecta; Hymenoptera; Ichneumonidae
Description: partial 28S ribosomal RNA
Source: RNAcentral
CCUGAGAAACCCAAAAGAUCGAAUGGGGAGAUUCAUCGUCAGCGAUUUUGGUACGUGUGCGGUUCGCGAUGCCGGAGACUUCGGUCGCCAGGCACUCGUCCGCAUGUUUUUUAUUGCCUCAAUCGUCGGCGUGCACUUCUCCCCUAGUAGGACGUCGCGACCCGUUGGGUGUCGGUCUACGGCCCGGGCGGUAGCCUGUCUCGUGUACGCCUCGCGGCGUUACGCGGUUCAGACCCCCGGUUGCCCGACCGGCUGCUCGGCGGUACUCGCACGGUAUCUGGCCGCAAAUAUUCGAACUGCGUCCGGCCCGUCGCAAGCGAGGCAAGUGCUUCCCGGUUGUACGGAUCUAAUGCCGUCACCGGGCCUUGCCGGCUGUUGGUUGACGGUGUCCUAGGACUGGCUAAUACAAUUAUGAUACCGGUCGGCGACGCUACUGCUUUGGGUACUUUCAGGA